AACGCACAUUGCGCCCAUUGGCAUUCCGAUGGGCAUGCCUGUUCGAGCGUCAUUAUCCUCCCUCAAACCUCGCGUUUGGUGCUGGACCGCGUUGGCUCCUCGGGGGUCAACUGGUCUCAAAGACAAUGACGGCGUCCGUGGGACCCUCGGUGCAACGAGCUUUUCGAAGCACGCGUCGAGUCGAAAGGACCCUCCGGGCCGGUCUGACCGUGAAAUCACUUUUUUUCAGGUUGACCUCGAAUCAGGUAGGAAUACCCGCUGAACUUAA
Molecule: unclassified non-coding RNA, 268 nt
Filed under: uncultured fungus
Lineage: Eukaryota; Fungi
Description: partial contains 5.8S ribosomal RNA, internal transcribed spacer 2, and large subunit ribosomal RNA
Source: RNAcentral